UACAGAGGUCUCAAGCGUUGUUCGGAUUCAUUGGGCGUAAAGGGUGCGUAGGCGGCGCGGUAAGUCGGGUGUGAAAUCUCGGAGCUUAACUCCGAAACUGCAUUCGAUACUGCCGUGCUUGAGGACUGGAGAGGAGAGUGGAAUUCCUGGUGUAGCGGUGGAAUGCGCAGAUAUCAGGAAGAACACCCGUGGCGAAGGCGGCUCUCUGGAACGCAACUGACGCUGAGACGCGAAAGCGUGGGGAGCAAACAGG
This 253-nucleotide ribosomal RNA is filed under the name uncultured bacterium. RNAcentral describes it as "partial 16S ribosomal RNA". It matches the Rfam family "Bacterial small subunit ribosomal RNA", at positions 524 to 776 of the family's 1533-position model. The record is from RNAcentral.